UUUUGUUUUUCUUUUUUUUUUUUUGGUUUUCAGACACCAUAAUAACCACUUGGUACUGACCAAUCCAUAGCUAUUAGUGAACAAAAAUAGUUUUUCACAUGCACAAGUACCAUUUUCCCACAGAAAACACUUAACCAUCGGUGAGGUACCGAAAACCUAUGCAUACGGUAAACAUCUGCUUGUUAUGAUUCUCUCCUAUUAUUUCUACGACGGAAGAACUCAUCAUCUGUCUCUCCGACUCAGAGAGUCAAAAAUCAGUGGAACGCAGCACCUCGGAUGCGACCACAGUCCAGAGGGCUCUGGUCGGAAAGGUCACCGCUGCCUUUUCAACCCCCGCCAUAACCGCGAAAUGCUGGUGAUGCCACCACAUCCCCGAUGCAGAACAGAAGCAUCCCAGGUCCCUUCCACAGGGAAGGGUUUGCAGCUCAGGGCGUAGAGGGAUGAGCCAGGAGAGGCCCGCGGCCCUGGAGACGGCGCCCAAGGGAUGGAGGCCGCGCUCCGCUGCGCCCUGGCGCGCGCGGGUGGGGGCUGGGGGAUCCGGGAAUGGGCACCGGGAGGGUCCUCCCGAGGGGACA
Molecule: long non-coding RNA, 575 nt
Filed under: Rattus norvegicus (Norway rat)
Lineage: Eukaryota; Metazoa; Chordata; Mammalia; Rodentia; Muridae
Description: long non-coding RNA NONRATT009734
Source: RNAcentral